RNAcentral lists this ribosomal RNA (292 nucleotides) under uncultured bacterium. RNAcentral describes it as "partial 16S ribosomal RNA". It matches the Rfam family "Bacterial small subunit ribosomal RNA", at positions 505 to 796 of the family's 1533-position model. The record is from RNAcentral.
GUGCCAGCCGCCGCGGUAACACGGGGGGAGCAAGCGUUGUUCGGAAUCACUGGGCGUAAAGGGCGUGUAGGCGGUCAAGUAAGUGGAAUGUGAAACGCCUCGGCUUACCCGAGGACCUGCAUCCCAAACUGCUUGGCUUGAGUAUGGGAGAGGAUGAGGGAAUUCCUGGUGUAGCGGUGAAAUGCGUAGAUAUCAGGAGGAACACCGGUGGCGAAAGCGCUCAUCUGGCCCAAUACUGACGCUGAGGCGCGAAAGCUAGGGGAGCAAACGGGAUUAGAUACCCCAGUAGUCC